Molecule: long non-coding RNA, 732 nt
Filed under: Pogona vitticeps (central bearded dragon)
Lineage: Eukaryota; Metazoa; Chordata; Lepidosauria; Squamata; Agamidae
Description: lncRNA (ENSPVIG00000003922.1)
Source: RNAcentral
ACUGGCACAGAAGGGGAAAAAAUCCGUACUGUUGAAAUUCAGGAGGAAUGUGCAUACGAUUAGAAAGAUACACCCUUCAGAGGUAUGCUUAUCUAAAAUUAUCCUUUGCUGAGUCUCAUACGGGAGUUAACAUCAGAUUUCCAAAAUCUAUGCAUUUGCCAAAUCCUUUAUAUGCACAUUCUCCUUCAGCUAGACUUUCUGAGCUCAGCAAGAGAAAUAUUUGGAACACAAGAUUUUUUUAAAGGCACACAAUGAUCUAACUUGCUCAUCUAAUAGGAAAGGAAUUUUUAUCUUCCUUUUAAUUGACAACAGCUUGGAAGAUGUUGCUGCUGUCACCUGAUCAUGAUUUAUUUGUGCCAUUUCUAAAUGAUUAUCUGAGACAGCUGGCAAGGGUGGUUUAUGUUGAAGAUUGGGUGACAGAGAAGCAUCAGCAAUAUUUGAUGUGCCAUGUGGAGUGUGGAGGAAUCCCAUGGAAGACUUCCCUGAUUCUUCUUCUGAAGCCUGGAGCCCAACUAAUUUAAUGAGGAUUGAUGGACAAGUUAGUAGCCUCAGAAACUAGAGCUUGUUUGCUUAAAUCAAGAUGUGGCUUGUUUAUGACUUGCAUAUUAAUGAAGUGGAGAUGAUAACAAUUUUACUGCUUCACUGUAAAUGCUUUGAUAUAUUGUAUAUUUUCUGAGGUAUGUUUCAUUGCUUUGUUUUAUAAAUGCCUAAUUCCAUUAAAAUGACCUGAUA